Molecule: ribosomal RNA, 900 nt
Filed under: Fusarium solani
Lineage: Eukaryota; Fungi; Ascomycota; Sordariomycetes; Hypocreales; Nectriaceae
Description: LSU rRNA
Rfam family: Eukaryotic large subunit ribosomal RNA
Source: RNAcentral
AGCAUAUCAAUAAGCGGAGGAAAAGAAACCAACAGGGAUUGCCCCAGUAACGGCGAGUGAAGCGGCAACAGCUCAAAUUUGAAAUCUGGCUCUCGGGCCCGAGUUGUAAUUUGUAGAGGAUGCUUUUGGUGAGGUGCCUUCCGAGUUCCCUGGAACGGGACGCCAUAGAGGGUGAGAGCCCCGUCUGGUUGGACACCGAUCCUCUGUAAAGCUCCUUCGACGAGUCGAGUAGUUUGGGAAUGCUGCUCUAAAUGGGAGGUAUAUGUCUUCUAAAGCUAAAUACCGGCCAGAGACCGAUAGCGCACAAGUAGAGUGAUCGAAAGAUGAAAAGAACUUUGAAAAGAGAGUUAAACAGUACGUGAAAUUGUUGAAAGGGAAGCGCUUGUGACCAGACUUGGGCUUGGUUGAUCAUCCGGGGUUCUCCCCGGUGCACUCUUCCGGCUCAGGCCAGCAUCAGUUCGCCCUGGGGGAUAAAGGCUUCGGGAAUGUGGCUCUCUCCGGGGAGUGUUAUAGCCCGCUGCGUAAUACCCUGUGGCGGACUGAGGUUCGCGCAUUCGCAAGGAUGCUGGCGUAAUGGUCAUCAGUGACCCGUCUUGAAACACGGACCAAGGAGUCGUCUUCGUAUGCGAGUGUUCGGGUGUCAAACCCCUACGCGAAAUGAAAGUGAACGCAGGUGAGAGCUUCGGCGCAUCAUCGACCGAUCCUGAUGUUAUCGGAUGGAUUUGAGUAAGAGCAUACGGGGCCGGACCCGAAAGAAGGUGAACUAUGCCUGUGUAGGGUGAAGCCAGAGGAAACUCUGGUGGAGGCUCGCAGCGGUUCUGACGUGCAAAUCGAUCGUCAAACAUGGGCAUGGGGGCGAAAGACUAAUCGAACCUUCUAGUAGCUGGUUUCCGCCGAAGU